RNAcentral lists this ribosomal RNA (506 nucleotides) under Newportia divergens. RNAcentral's name for it is "partial small subunit ribosomal RNA". It matches the Rfam family "Bacterial large subunit ribosomal RNA", at positions 1819 to 2600 of the family's 2925-position model. The record is from RNAcentral. Lineage: Eukaryota; Metazoa; Arthropoda; Chilopoda; Scolopendromorpha; Scolopocryptopidae.
GGUUCUUUGAUAAAAUACAGUAAAGAAUCUUGCCUGCCCAGUGAUGAAAAUUUAACGGCCGCGGUAAUUUAACUGUGCGAAGGUAGCAUAAUCAAUUGUCUAUUAAUUGUAGACUGGAAUGAAUGGUAUGACUAGAGAUUAGUUGUCUUGGGAUUAAUUUAAAAUUUUCAUUUUCUUGAAGAGAAGAAAAUGCCUCAGAGGGACGAGAAGACCCUAUUGAGCUUUAUAUAAAGUGGUAUAUUUAUUUGUGGGGAAUUGAAUGGCUAUAAAAUAUUUUGCUGGGGCGGUGGAUUUUAAUAUUAAAACAAUUUUUAAAGGAAAUAUUAUUAAGUGAGAGUUUGAUCCAAUAUGAUUGAUUAUAAGACUAAGUUACUGUAGGGAUAACAGCGUAAUAUUAUUUAGAAGUACUAAUUUGUGAUAAAGAUUGCGACCUCGAUGUUGGUUUAGGAAACUUGUUUGGUGCAGAUGCUAAAUUAAGUAGUCUGUUCGACUAUUAAAUUCCUAUA